GUGCCAGCCGCCGCGGUAAUACGUAGGGGGCAAGCGUUGUCCGGAUUUACUGGGUGUAAAGGGCGCGCAGGCGGGUUUGUAAGUCAGUGGUGAAAUCCUGCAGCUUAACUGCAGAACUGCCUUUGAUACUGCAAAUCUUGAGUGCGGAAGAGAGAGACGGAAUUCCAGGUGUAGUGGUGAAAUACGUAGAUAUCUGGAAGAACACCAGUUGCGAAGGCGGUCUCUUGGUCCGUAACUGACGCUCAGGCGCGAAAGCGUGGGUAGCAAACAGGAUUAGAAACCCCUGUAGUCC
RNAcentral lists this ribosomal RNA (292 nucleotides) under uncultured bacterium. RNAcentral's name for it is "partial 16S ribosomal RNA". It matches the Rfam family "Bacterial small subunit ribosomal RNA", at positions 505 to 796 of the family's 1533-position model. The record is from RNAcentral.